Molecule: long non-coding RNA, 12782 nt
Organism: Orcinus orca (killer whale)
Lineage: Eukaryota; Metazoa; Chordata; Mammalia; Artiodactyla; Delphinidae
Exons: 5
Source: RefSeq, a predicted model, not a curated record
UUUGGCUGUGUUGGGUCUUCGUUGCUGGUUGUGGCGAGCGUGGCCUACUCUUCAUUGUGGUGCACAGGCUUCCCACUGUGGUGGCUUUUCUUGUUGCAGAGCAUGGGCUCUAGGUGCGUGGGUUUCAGUAGUUGCAGCAUGCGGGCUCAGUAGUUGUGGCUCGCGGGCUCUAGAGAGCAGGCUCAGUAGUUGUGGCGCAUGGACUUAGCUGCUCUGUGGCAUGUGGAAUCUUCCUGGCUCAGGGCUCGAACCCGUGUCCCCUCAAUUGGCAGGCGAAUUCUUAACCACUGUGCAACCAGGGAAACCCUCACAUCUGUUUCUGCGUUCAAUCUGUUGUGUUGAUUCAAGUAUAAGAAGAAAACUCAGAUUCACACAGGUAGCCUGGAGUAGAGAAAGGAGCUCUCCCGUUAACAUGCUGUGUGACCCCAGGCAAGAUUCAACCGGGGCUUCCCUGAUGGCUCAGUGGUUAGGAAUCCGCCUGCCAGUGCACGGGACACAGGGUCAAGCCCUGGUCCGGGAAGAUCCCCCACGUCACAGAGCAACCAGGCCCAUACACCUCAUACAACCAGGCUCAUACACUACUGAGCCUGCGCUCUACAGCCCGCGAACCACAACUACUGAGCCCACGUGCCAUAACUACUGAAGCCCACCUGCCUAGAGCCUGUGCUCCGCAACAAGAGAAGCCACCGCAAUGAGGAGCCCGCUCACCGCAAAGAAGAGUAGCCCCCGCUCGCCACAACUAGAGAAAGCCCUCUCACAGCAACGAAGACCCAACGCAGCCAAAAAUUAAAUAACCCUACUUUGCACCUCUGACUACAGAGAUACCUGGAGCCUCUGAUUCAUCAGCCCUCCUGGAGUGCUGUGCUAUGAACUGGACUUUUUCUUUUUUUUUAAAAUUGAAGUAUAGUUGAUGCAUAAUAUAUGUUACAGAUGUACAGCAUACUGAUUCACAAUUUUAAAGGUUAUUUUCCAUUUAUAGUUAUUAUAAAAUAUUAGCUAUCUUCCCUGUGCUGUAUAAUAUAUCUCCUUCCUUGUAGUAGCUUAUAUAUUUUCUACAUAGUAGUUUGUACCUCUUAACCCCAUCCCUAUCUUGUCCCUCCCCGCUUCUUUCUCCCCACUGGUAACCACUAGUUUGUUCUCUAUGUAUGUGAGCCUGUUUCUUUUUUAAUUAAUUAAUUAAUUAUAUUUAUUUUUGGCUGCAUGGGGUCUUCAUUGCUGCGCGCGGGCUUUCUCUAGUUGUGGCGAGUAGGGGCUACUCUUCGUUGCGGUGCGCGGGCUUCUCAUUGCGGUGGCUUCUCUCGUUGCAGAGCACGGACUCUAGAGCGCAGGCUUCAGCAGUUGUGGUGCCCGGGCUUAGUUGCUCCGCAGCAUGUGGGAUUUCCCAGACCAGGGCUCGAACCUGUGUCCCCUGCAUUGGCAGGCGGAUCCUUAACCACUGCACCACCAGGGAAGUCCCUGUUUGUUUUUUGUUAUAUUCACUAGUUUGCCGUAUUUUUUAGAUUCCACGUGUAAGUGAUAUCAUAUUGUAUUUGUCUUUCUCCAUCUGAUUUAUUUCAUCUCCAAGUCCAUCUGUGUUGCUGCAAAUGGCAAAAUUUCAUUCUUUUUUAUGGCUGAGUAGUAUUCCAUUGUGUGUGUGUGUGUGUGUGUGUGUGUGUGUGUGUGUGUGUGUGUGUAUACACAUCUGGUGAUUAUACAUAUGUCACAUUUUCUUUAUCCAUUCAUCUGUUGAUGGAGACUUAGGUUGCUUCCAUACCCUGGCAAUUGUAAAUUAGUGCUGGUAUAAAUAUUGGGGUGCAUGUGUCUUUUCAAAUUAGUGUUUUUGGGGUUUUCGGAUAUAUACCCAGGAAUAGAAUUGCUGGGUCAUAUGGCGAACUGGCCUUUUUCUUGUUAGCUGUUCCACCUUCACUUUUCCCACUCUGCUAAGUCACUUACCACUUCCCCCUAUGCUUUCCAGCUUCCAAAAUGUUGUUGCCUUUAUUCUUCCACUGCUAUAUCCUUUCCUGACUUCUUAGUCCUUAUGGGUUUAUACUUUUUUAAAAAAAUUCCUCUGCUCUUACUUUAGCGGGGGGUCUAAUGGGAAAGAAGAGCUAAACACAUAUGUUUAUUAAUCUACCUGGUUUCCUUUAAAGAGCACAGCACAAAUGUUUAAAUAGUAUAUCCAUCAGGAGUCAGUUGCAGUAACAGAAAAGGUUGAUUCAGAGAAGUAGGUGCUUGAAACACACUGGAUAAACUAGAAGAAUGGGCUCAAGGCUAGUCCUCCAGGAAUGAUUGUCAGAACCCUGCAGAACUGAUCCUGCAAGAGAGCUGCAACCUGGUUGAGAGUCAGGGACCUGUGAAAUAAUAAACAACUGCCAGGCCCAUCUUAGCCACAUUCAGAGAUCAGGCUGCUGCUGCCGCACUUUCAGCUUCAAAGCCACACGGUCUGCUAGACCGAUAUCCGCUAAGUGGAGGCCCAGAGCAACACUGCCUCUCUCCCUUCUACACUCAGGUAAGCACUCAAGUCUUGUGUGAAGGUGUCUGAUUUUUUUUUUUUUUUUUUGCCGCGCCACGCGGCAUGCAGGAUCUUAGUUCCCCAACCAGGGAUCAAACCCAUGCCCCCUGCAUUGGGAGCAUGGCGUCUUAACCACUGGACUGCCAGGGAAGUCCCUGAAGGCAUCUGACUGGUGUAACCCCAACCUCCGAAAUGCAUCUGGGGGGUUUUGCUGCAAGGGAACAUAAAAAAUACUGUUUUUCAGCCUUCCAGCCUCUGCAGUGUAAGAAGGCAGACCAAAAGGAAGUUAGAUCAGGUGUCAAGGGCAUUAAUCUAUGUAUCCACCAGAAAAGGUAAGUCAAUGUGUACACACAUUUUGUAACUGGACAAUGAAGGAUCCAUUCGCAUUGUUUUUCUCACCUUACCUAAUUUCCUUCCUCUUAGCCUUUGGGAUUAACUCUAAAAGCUUCGCCUCCUUGCCUUUGCUCAGGGGUUAGCAAACUUUUUCAAUAAAAGAUUGGAGAGUAAAUAUUUUAGGUGUUACAGGCCAUAUGGUAUCUGUCACAAGUUUUCAACUUUUAUUGUUGUAGUGAGAAAACAGCCUGAGACAACAUGUAAACAAAUGAGCAUGGAUCCAGUUAAGACUUUAUUUAUAAAAGCAAGUGGCCAGCUGGAUUUGGCCUGUGGGCCAUAGUUUGCAGACCCUGUCUUUGCUUUUUUUUUUUUUUUCUUUUGGCCAUGCUGCAUGCCUUGUGAGAUCUUAGUUCCCCGGCCAGGGACUGAACCUGGGCCCCCGCAGUGAAAGCGCCGAGUCCUAACCACUGUACCGCCAGGGAGCUCCCCUUUCUUUGUUUAUAUUGUCCAUUAAAUCCACAGAUCCUUAAUGAGCACCUACUGAGUGUCAGGUACUUUCUAGGGGAGGAGAUAUAGCAGUAAACAGGACAGAGGGCCCCCAGCUCAGGGGAGUGAACAUUCUGCCUGCGGUGAUGCUCUCCUCCCCACCUCCCCUUCCCUGCCUAACCCAGACUCCUAUUUAAUACUCUGUGUGGGUUGACCUGCCUUGACUUUCCUCCUUCCGGCCAGAGCUGAUUCCCUCCCCCAGAGCUCCCAUAGUGCCCUGUGUACACUGAGGUCACUUGUACCAACCUUGUGCGUGAAUGUUGCCUGCUUAUGCAUCUGGUUCCCUGCAAGACCGUGAACUCUUCAAAGGCGAGAACUGGGCCCCUCCUCACCUUGCAUCGUCUGGGGCCUGGCUCAGAACCAGCCUGUGGUCCGUGGUGUUGAACUGACUUUCGGGAGUCUUUGUGGAAGCUGAGAUACAAACAUUAGACACAGUUGCGGGCAGUUCUGCAGUGGCCCUAUUCAGGUGAGCAUUUGUGUUUAUCAACUGGGUUAUGGUGUAAUUUAUGUGCACCUCUUUCAAGUGUGCAUGUCGACGAAUUUUGACAAAUGUUUCCAUCUUUGUAAAUACCACCACAAUCAAGAUCUAGAACAUUCCCUCACACCCCAAAGUUCCCUUGUCCCUCUUUGUAGUCGUCACCUCACACCCCAAGCCCCAGCCUUAGAUAAUCACUGAUCUACUGCCUAUCACUACAGCUUAGCUUUGCCUGUUCUAAAACUUUAUAUAAAUGGAAGCACACUGUGUAUACUGUUUUAUAUACAGCACAAUGUGUUGCUAUAUCAGCAAUCCAUUCCUUCUUAUGGCUGAGUGGUAUUUCAUUUAUGGAUAUACCACAGUCUGUUGAUCAGAUGAGAAUUUCAAGGAAAAAGAUAUCUCUGCUCCCUCUCCCAGAACCUACUGUAGGGAACUAGGAGGGUCUUGUCUGGCCUCAAAUGUACAGGCUGUGUAUUAGCUCUUGUAAUAUUGUGAUUUAUAUCAGGAAAUACGUAUUUGUUCUCAGUCCCUGUUCCUAGCACUGAGUUCCUAAGACCCUUGGCAUUUCCUAAGUGAAGAGAGUGAUCAAGGUGUCUUUUGUGAUGUUGAGGUGACUCUUGAAAUGCCCUUAGGUCACCUAAGAAGGAGGGCUGGUCACCAGUGGAACCAACCAAGUAAUUGGAGAGCUGGAACUUUCAGUUCCACCCCUCUGACCUCUGGGGAGGAAAAAGGGACAGGAGAUUGAGUUCAGUCACCAAUGGCCAAUGAUCUAAUCAAUCAUGCCUAUGUAGUGAAGCUUCCAUAAAAACCCAAAAAGAUUGGGGAUGGGCGAAGGGGGGAGCUUCAAAGAACUUCCAGGUUGAUGAACAUGUGGAGAUCUGAGGAGAGUGGUACGCCCAGAAAAAGCGGGAAGCUCCACACCCUUUCCCCAUACCUUGCCCUAAGCAUCUUUCCUAUCUGGCUGUUCUGAGUUACAUCCUUUAAUAGUAAACCAGUAAGUAGUCUAGUAAGUAGAAUGUUUCUCUGAGUUCUAGAGUGAGCCGCUCUAGCAAAUUAAUCAAACCUGAGGGGGGCAGUAAUUGGAAUCACCUGUCUAUAGCCACUCGGUCAGAAGCACAGGCGACAACCUGAACUUGAGAUUGGCAUCUGAAGUUGGAGGGGAGCAGUCCUGUAGGACUGAGCCCUUAACCUGUGGCAUCUGACACUAUCUCCAGGUAUUUAGUGUCAGAAUUAUAGGGCAGCCAGCUGGUCUUGGAGAAUUGCUUGGUACUGAGGAAAAAAUGCACAUGUUGGAAUUGGGAGCAGAAUCUUAUCUCUGAGUGAGAUUAUCUAGAUAGUUGGUGAUUUGAAAGCUGCUGAUGCAAUUGUGACCCCUGGACCCAUACCCGAUGUGCUGCCAGGAUUGAACAUGCAAUAUAUACCACAUUUGGGCAGCCCUUUCUAGUUUAUUAGUUUAUUUUAAUGUUUUAGUGUUUUAUUUUAAUGUUUUAAUGUUUAUUAGUUUUUUGUUUUUAAUGUUUAUUAGUAUAACUUGAGUUUCAAAAAAUGGAAGUGGCCUGGGUGUCCCCAACCCAGGGAUGCUCCUUCUGUAACUUAUUAUUCCAGUGUUUAGCCAGCAGGGCCUCCCCAAACUCAUUCCUUCUGACUCCCCUGUACGUAACUGCUACCUCUGUUCUCUCUGGUUCUGUCUUUCCCAGGGGCAGAGGGGGGCUCUUUCUGCCCUCUGUAAUGAGGCUACCCACUCUCCAUCUGUAUCAUCAUAGGGAUAAUAGCUCCUGAUCUUUAGAUAACACUUUUCCACUUUAACAAGCACUGUCAGACCAUUAUCUCACUUAAGCUGAGCCACAGCCCUGUGAUGGAGGCAGCCUGCUUAUUAUUUUCAUUAUUAUUAUCAAUACCAUUAUUCUUACACUUCACAGAUAAAGCAACUGAGACUCAAAGAGGUUAUGACUUCUUAACCUUCUGGCUGGCCAUCCUAUGUGUUUCCUCUUGUGCCCACUGGCUUCCUGAAUCGUAAAGAGGGCAAGGUGCCCCUUGGGGACCCAUUCUUUAUUGUCACAUCUGCUGAACUCAUGCACGGAUGAGCAGCAGCCAUUUCUUGAGCUCCUGACACAUAAAAGGCAGAAUGUGUUCAGAAGGUAAUAAUAAUCAUCGAUAACUUUUAUAGACAGCGAGCCUGAAUCAAGGGCUAUUCUAGGCCUUGUAGAGAUCUUAUCUCAAAUACUCCCAACUUCCAUACAAGAUGGGUAUCAUUAUGCCUGUUUUACAGAUAAGGAUGCAGCCUCAGAGAGGCUAACUUGCCCGAGGUCCCCUGACGUGUCUCUGGAAAUUCUCUACCCUCUCACUGCGGUUGGGAACCGUCCACUGCGCACAGGCUAUGACCUCACACGUGCUUUGGUUUAAAAGCUGGCUCUCCCACCUGCUUGCCGUGUGACCAUGAGCCUGGACGUGUUCUCUCGUGUGAAUAAAAGGAGGAGUCCCUCAUUCACAGAGUGCUCUUCUGAGGAUUAAGUGUCAGGCCCAGCCAAGGUCUGGCAGAUGGGAAUGAUGAUUAGGCACCAGUCUGGGUCCUAGAAGAUGCCAGGGCCCCUGAGGGUAGAGGGCAGCAUGUCUGACUGAAGCAGAGGCCAUGCUUCAGUCUUGGUAUUUCCGCCUUGUCAGGUGACACCAACAAAAGUUGUAGGAACUUCCCUGGGGUCCAGUGGUUAGGACUCCAUGCUUCACUGCAGAGGGUAGGGGUUCAAUCCUUGGUCGGGGAACUAAGAUCCUGCAAGCCUCGCAUGGUGUGGUGUUGCAAAAAAAAUAAAAGUCUGUAGUUGCCGACUUCAGAAAAUGAGGUACAGUUUGUUCCAAGUUACUUAGGUAUCAUAAGUCCUCUGCUGAAGCCUGUUCAUUGUCUGCCUGUUUACUACAAGUCAGCACCUGCAGUUCCUGUCUUUCUCUCUCCAUCUCAGUAUUUAGUAGAAGAUUCUUCAUGGGUAUAACGUUUCCUCUGUUACCUCUUGCCUGCAGGGUGAAAGUGGGUAGUUCACUUAAUGCCAUACCAUAUCCAGUGGCAUGUGCUGGUUUAGAUAGCUUGAGCUCCAACCAGAGACAGCACUUUUUACUUAUUUUUUAAUGAGAGCACUUUUAAAACUGUCAUCCACAAUGAAUGGUGUGCCACGCCCUGUGCCAGCCACAGCCCAAAGGCAAGGCACACAGCGUACAGAGCCUGGCAGCCCAGAUUGGGUGCUUGCCACGUUGAGUCAAGAGGCGCUUUUGCCCCGGGAGCUUCUGCCCUCUCUUAGGUGAAGCCCAGGGUUUUCAUUGGGAAUCCUUUAGUGGUGACUGGGUGGUGCUGUCGAGUUCAGGGUGGAAGACUUGACUCGAUUAGGGGAUCUGAUUCUCCACGAAGGCUCUGGACAAGCUACCUGGCUUCCAUAUCUCCAUUAACUAAUUCAUUCAGAAAUACCUGCUGAGCUGCUGGUAUGGCCAUGGCUCUGGGUUCAGGGGUGAACAAGGGCAAACCUCAUGGAGCGUCCAUGGGAUGCAUUCAGCUCCUUGCAUCCAGGUCUUCUGGCUGGAUUUAGAUGGGGUCAUUCAUCUUUCCAGACUGAGUUAGGCUCAGAAGCCCUGGAGUAGCAAUGGCUGUCAGUGUAUACUGUAUUGUACCACCACCUUCUACCCAUGACAUCCCACACCUCUUGGGAUCCUGAAUAAGGCCCUCCAUGGUCUGGCUUCAUCUCCCUCUCCCUUUCUGUGCUCUGUUCCUCAAAUGGACCAUGCUCACUCCCAUAACAGGACCUUUGCACAUGCUGUUCCCUUUGGUUGUUCUCUGUGAUGUACAGACUUUAAGGUGACCCCCCAUGACCCCUAACUCCUGGUGUUCACACCCUUGAGUGAGGGUGGGACCUGUGACUUGCUUGUAACCAAUAGAAUAUGGCAAAGGUGACAGAAUGUCGCUUUUGUGAUUGUGUUGUGUAAGACUCCAUCUUGCUAGAGCCUCUGAACCUUCCCUAGUCAGGCCUCCAUGUGAGAACACAGCCCUGCCUCAUACCUUGAUUACAGCCUUGCAGAGGACCCAGCUAAGCUGUGCUAGGACUCCUGACCCAGAGAAACUGUGAGAUGGCAAAGGUUUUCUUUUGGCUGCACCAUGCAGCUUGCAGGAUCUUAAUUCCCCAACCAGGGAUUGAACCUGGGCCCUCGGCAGUGAGAGUGCCGAGUCCUAACCAUUGGGUCUCCAGGGAAUUCCCACAAAGGUAUUCUUUUAAGUUGCUAAGUUUGUUGUUUAAAAAAGAAAAAGCUGCGUAAAUGUGUUACUAUUUUCUAUAUGCAGUGUAGAAAACCAACCUAUUCUCUAACAUUCACCUAGCUUACUCCUACUCAUCCCUUACCAUUCCCAUCCCACCGAGAUGAGUUUUCUCAUCAGCCAAGAUGCCAAGGCCUGAUCUCCUUGUUAGAGGCUCUCGUGCCAUGGUGUGCCUCACCUCCACGUGACUUAUACAUUUAUAACUGUGUGAUUAUUUAAUUAAUAACUGCCCCCCCUCCACCACCACCCCCAGAUUGUAAGUGCCAUGAAAGCACCUUGUCAUGGUCUCUUCAUUUCCCCAGGGACUAGCACAGUGCCUGGCACAUGUAGGUGUUCAGUAAAUAUGUGUUGAAUAAAUAAAUGAUUUAUAGGACAUUCAGGGUCAAAAGGAGUGAAGGGAUAGGCAGGGGCUGGACUGUUCAAUGGUUAGAGGCUAAAAUGACUUGGGUGGAAAGUGGAUGUUGUAGUCCUAAAAACUCACUUUUAUUGUGACCUAGCUGGACAACUGACGCUACAGGUGUAUUUGGGGGCAUCCUUGGUGGGAAUGAUCUGUGUCCAUACAACAGUCACACGAGCCACCCCAUGGCUUGGCAUGAGGGUGUUUCUCUUGGAAGCUCCAGACUUCUUCCUCCUUCCAGAAGAACAUCUUGUAUUUUGACCAUCAGGCAAUUCUCUUAACAAUGUCCUUCCUAUGAGUCAGAGAAGGGAAGACACAGGCGGAGAAGGGGAGGGUGUGGUUAGGUGGAGGGAGCUCCAGCUUGGCAGUUUCAGUGAGGCCCACGAAACGUCAAAUAGCUUGCUCCAGAAAUAGACAGAAAGGUGAGUACAUGGCAUGCUGGUCACUGAAUUAUAUUCCCUCCAAAUUCAUUUACUGAAGGCUUAACCCGCGUGUGAUCACAUGUGGAGAUGGGCCUAUAAGGAGGCAAUUAAGGUUAUAAGAGCUCACAAGAGUUGUGUCCUAAUCCUGUAGGGCUGGUGCCUUGAUAAAAAGAGGAAGAGAUGCCAGAGCUCUGUCUCCACCAUGUGAGGAUACAGGGAGAACGUAGCCAUCUGCUAGUCAGGGAGAGAGAUCUCACCAGAAACCAAAUGGACUGGUCCCUUUACCUUGAACUUCCCAGCCUCUAGAACUGUGAGAAAAUAAAUUCAUGUUGUUUAAGCCACCCAGCAUAUGGUGUUUUGUUAUGGCUGCCUGAGCCAAUUAAGACAUGGGGUUAUCUAGAAGGCUGUAUCUUAUGCUAUAAAAAUAAGGUUGAGGGGCUCCAGAGUUCAGGUCAGUGUUUUCCUGUCUCUCCAAAUGGACUUUCUGUGCCUCCCCUGAUGUUUUGGCGUCAGUUGCCCAAGUUUACCCUCUCUAGGGCUUAAGGCCCUUCCCAGUUUAUUGAGGCCAUGUUUUCCUCCUUUCCUUCCAUCCAAGCUUUUAGAAGGAGUUGUCUGCACUUGCCGAUCGCGCUUCCGUUUCCAGGCAUCCACUCUUCGGUCACUUCAGUUGAGCCUCCAUCCUGCCAUUGCACAGAAGCUGCUUCCAUGCCACAUCCAGUGGGUACUUUUGGUCCUCAUUUGACUGUUCUCUUUUUCUUAACUCUUUCUCCUCCCUUGCAUUUCAGGGAUUUCUCGUCGCCCCUUCCUGGCAUCACCAUUUUGGUCUUCAUCUACUAUCUGCCACCUACUGCCCUUCAUGUAAAUGUUGAUGUUCCCCGGGUUUUGCCCUUGGUCCUCUUGCCUUUUCGCCCCACAUUGCCCUAAGAAAUCAUUGACGUAUAAACUCAGGCUGUUUCUCCAAGGCAAGAUGAGCUCACAGACCCCUGAGCCAUGGACCACCUGGCCAAGAACUGUAAACCAGAGACAUCCUGAUUCCCGAAACCAUGAUUAAGAAAUGUCACAAGGUGAUUAAUCCCAGCCCCUUUGUUCUUCCCCCUUAAAACAUCCCUAACUCAAAGACCAAGCUGGAAUGGAUCUGAGACUUGUCUCCCACUCCCUUGCUGGGCAUCCUGCAAAUAAACCCUUACUUUGCUGCAAAUACCUGCUGUCAGAGUUUGGCUUUCUGCGGCUGUGGCGCAUGAGCCCUCCUUAAAUUUUGUAUCUUGGGAACCUUUGGUACCUUUGCCUAGUCUCAGCCCUGCCAGGAGUCAUAGCAUUUUCAUUAAAAAACUUAAAUAUAUGCUUGUUCCGUCCUAAUUGCUAGGAAUUCACUGCUUGGAAUUCUUCCUAUGGAAAUAAACGAGCAGGGCUCUAAAUCAUGUGUACAAAGUGAUCAUAUAUGUAAAUAUAAGACUGGAAGGGCAUGCAUCCAAAUGAUAACAGAGGUUAUCUCUCUUUGAGAGAUAGGGUUAUAGGUGACUUUUUUCCAUUGUAUUUUGUGUAUGUGCGUGAGUGUUUUGCAAAUUUUCUGCACUCGGCAAGUAAUAUUUUUGUAGUUAGGGGGAAAAAAACAUUAUUUAAAAUGUUUUUAAACUGUCCCUCUUUUCUGGGUGACCCAUCGUGCUUGGGCUAAGCAUGUUGCUGUACUCUUCCCUUCUGGGCAGCACUUUCCCAUGAGGCUCUCUGAUCCCUUAUGCCAAUAGCCCCACAGAGACUCAGCCCACAAAGCUCUCAGGCAGACAGGCCCAGACAUAUCUGAAUCCACAGACAGGUUGGGAUAAGCCUGCCGGGGGUGCUGUCUUCUCUGAGGGCACUGUGGGAGGGGAUAUGAGAAUAAAGUAGGGGUGUAGGCCUUAAAGGCCCCUCCCCAACUUCUACCUCCUCCCCCAACUCAUUCCCAGGGGUAGCUUGGGGAAUUGACACCCUUGUGGAUGGAGUCUGGUGGACAGGGUUUGAAUCCCUGACUCUGCCAGGUACAAGCCAUGUGACUCUGGGCAAGUCAUUUCAUCUCUGUCCUCAAUUUUCACAUCCUUAAAAUGGAGAUAACACUAGAAGUUACUGCACAGUGGUCUUUUCUGGAGCCAGUAAGAAGAUGCAUGUGAAGUGUGGCUCCCAGUCUGGCACGAGGUGACCCAACAGAGGCAGGUGUUGACAUUGUUAUUGACACCCCGGUGGAUGUGUCUCCCACGUCUCAAACACAGCAUUGGACAUGCUGAACUCUUUUUUUUUUUUUUUUUGCGGUACGCGGGCCUCUCACUGUUGUGGCCUCUCCCGUUGCGGAGCACAGGCUCGGGACGCGCAGGCUCAGCGGCCAUGGCUCACGGGCCCAGCCACUCCGCGGCAUGUGGGAUCUUCCUGGACCGGGGCACGAACCCACAUCCCCUGCAUCGGCAGGUGGAUUCUUAACCACUGCGCCAUCAGGGAAGUACCUGUAUGUUCUUUUAGUGUCUGUCUCUAAUACCAAAUUAAACACUCUAGGAAAGCAGGGACCGUGUUUCUUUUGCUAAAUACUGUAUCCACAACACCUAGUACAGUACUUGGGGCAAAGUGUACAUGAAAUACAAUAUUUGUUAGAAGAAUUAGUUAAAUAUCAGAAUAAAGCAUCUCUAUAUGUUAGUUGUUAGUAUAUGUGCUAUAUAAACUUGCAGAAGGGACUUCCCUGGUGGUCCAGUGAUUAAGACUCUGUGCUCCCAGUGCAGGGGGCCUGGGUUCAAUCCCUGGUCAGGGAACUAGAUCCUGCAUGCCACAACUAAGAACCCACAUGCCACAACUAAAAAGAGCCUGCAUGCUGCAUCGAAGAUCCCGUAUGCCCGUGCAACAGCUAAGACCUUGAGCAGCCAAAUAACUAAAUAAAUAAUAAAAUAUUUUUAAAUAAUUAAAAAAAUAUAGCCCCCUUAGGAACAUUAAAAUAAACAAACAAACAAACAAACUUGCAGUAAAUGGUAUAGGAAUUUGGAUCAGUGAGAAUUUAUUCUGGGCUAGUUUGAUCUGAUAAAUCACCUUGGAAGAGCAGUAAACAUCCAUCUAUCUAUCCAUCUACCCAUAUAGCAAUCCACCCAUCAAUCCAUUUAUUCACUCAUCCAUCCACCCAUUUGCCCAACUGUCCAUCCACCAUUUCACCUAAUGUUCACUGAACAUUUAUGCACAUUGACUCAAAUCGUUGAAAGAUGGGGAUCUAAUGUAAAUCAUCGUGAUUUUAGUUGAUAAUAUUGUAUUGUAAAAUUGAAACUUGUUAAGAGAAUUGAACUUAAAUGUUCUCACACAUAAAAAAGAAGAGAAUAAAUAUGUGAGGUAAUGGAUGUGUUAAUUAACUAGAUGGGGGAAACCUUUCACAAUGUAUAUCUAUACCAAGUCACUACGAUGCAUGCUUUAAAUAUCUUACAAUUUUAUAUAUCAUAUAUAAUUCUAUAAAGCUGAAAUUUAAGAAAUGCUGAAGGAGGGAAGGGGUAAAUUUGGAGCUUAGGAUUAACAGAUACACCCUACUAUAUAUAAAAUAGAUAAACAACAAGGACCUACUUUAUAGCACAGGGAACUACAUUCGACAUCUAUAAUACACAUACAUACAUAUUACCUAUAAUGGAAAAGAAUCUGAAAAAGAAUAUAUAUAUGUAUAACUGAAUCACUUUACUGUACACCUGAAACUAACGCAACAUUGUAAAUCAACUGUAUUUCAGUUUAUUUAUUCAUUUAUUUAUUUUUUAAAAUUUUAUUGGGGCAUAGUAUUUUAUAUAUAGCAGUGUGUAUAUGUCAAUCCCAAUCUUCCAAUUUAUCCCUACCCACACCCCCUCACU